GACGAACGCUGGCGGCGUGCUUAACACAUGCAAGUCGAGCGGUAAGGCCCUUUCGGGGGUACACGAGCGGCGAACGGGUGAGUAACACGUGGGUGACCUGCCCUUAGCUCCGGGAUAAGCCUGGGAAACUGGGUCUAAUACCGGAUAUGACUCCAUGACGCAUGUUGUGGGGUGGAAAGCCUUGUGCGGCUAGGGAUGGGCCCGCGGCCUAUCAGCUUGUUGGUGGGGUGAUGGCCUACCAAGGCGACGACGGGUAGCCGGCCUGAGAGGGCGACCGGCCACACUGGGACUGAGACACGGCCCAGACUCCUACGGGAGGCAGCAGUGGGGAAUCUUGCGCAAUGGGCGAAAGCCUGACGCAGCGACGCCGCGUGA
RNAcentral lists this ribosomal RNA (375 nucleotides) under uncultured bacterium. Its description in RNAcentral is "bacterial SSU rRNA". It matches the Rfam family "Bacterial small subunit ribosomal RNA", at positions 28 to 404 of the family's 1533-position model. The record is from RNAcentral.